This 1368-nucleotide ribosomal RNA is filed under the name uncultured bacterium. RNAcentral's name for it is "partial 16S ribosomal RNA". It matches the Rfam family "Bacterial small subunit ribosomal RNA", at positions 28 to 1381 of the family's 1533-position model. The record is from RNAcentral.
GACGAACGCUGGCGGCGUGCCUAAUACAUGCAAGUAGAACGCUGAAGGAGGAGCUUGCUUCUCUGGAUGAGUUGCGAACGGGUGAGUAACGCGUAGGUAACCUGCCUGGUAGCGGGGGAUAACUAUUGGAAACGAUAGCUAAUACCGCAUAAUAGUAGAUGUUGCAUGACAUUUACUUAAAAGGUGCAAUUGCAUCACUACCAGAUGGACCUGCGUUGUAUUAGCUAGUUGGUGGGGUAACGGCUCACCAAGGCGACGAUACAUAGCCGACCUGAGAGGGUGAUCGGCCACACUGGGACUGAGACACGGCCCAGACUCCUACGGGAGGCAGCAGUAGGGAAUCUUCGGCAAUGGACGGAAGUCUGACCGAGCAACGCCGCGUGAGUGAAGAAGGUUUUCGGAUCGUAAAGCUCUGUUGUAAGAGAAGAACGAGUGUGAGAGUGGAAAGUUCACACUGUGACGGUAUCUUACCAGAAAGGGACGGCUAACUACGUGCCAGCAGCCGCGGUAAUACGUAGGUCCCGAGCGUUGUCCGGAUUUAUUGGGCGUAAAGCGAGCGCAGGCGGUUAGAUAAGUCUGAAGUUAAAGGCUGUGGCUUAACCAUAGUACGCUUUGGAAACUGUUUAACUUGAGUACUGUAGGGGUAACUGGAAUUCCUGGUGUAGCGGUGAAAUGCGCAGAUAUCAGGAGGAACACCGAUGGCGAAGGCAGGUUACUGGGCAGUUACUGACGCUGAGGAGCGAAAGCAUGGGUAGCGAACAGGAUUAGAUACCCUGGUAGUCCAUGCCGUAAACGGUGGGCGCUAGGUGUGAGGGUCUUUUCACGACUUUCGUGCCGUAGCUAACGCAUUAAGCGCCCCGCCUGGGGAGUACGGCCGCAAGGCUAAAACUCAAAGGAAUUGACGGGGGCCCGCACAAGCGGCGGAGCAUGUGGAUUAAUUCGAUGCAACGCGAAGAACCUUACCUGGGCUUGACAUACACCGGAUCGGGCUAGAGAUAGUCUUUCCCUUUGUGGCUGGUGUACAGGUGGUGCAUGGUUGUCGUCAGCUCGUGUCGUGAGAUGUUGGGUUAAGUCCCGCAACGAGCGCAACCCUUGUCUUAUGUUGCCAGCAUUUGGUUGGGGACUCAUGAGAGACUGCCGGGGUCAACUCGGAGGAAGGUGGGGAUGACGUCAAAUCAUCAUGCCCCUUAUGUCCAGGGCUUCACACAUGCUACAAUGGUCGGUACAACGCGCAGCGACACUGUGAGGUGGAGCGAAUCGCUGAAAGCCGGCCUUAGUUCGGAUUGGGGUCUGCAACUCGACCCCAUGAAGUCGGAGUCGCUAGUAAUCGCAGAUCAGCAAUGCUGCGGUGAAUACGUUCCCGGGCCU